This 407-nucleotide ribosomal RNA is filed under the name uncultured bacterium. Its description in RNAcentral is "partial 16S ribosomal RNA". It matches the Rfam family "Bacterial small subunit ribosomal RNA", at positions 28 to 526 of the family's 1533-position model. The record is from RNAcentral.
GACGAACGCUGGCGGCGUGCUUAACACAUGCAAGUCGAACGAAGUGGCGCACGGGUGAGUAACGCGUAGGUAACUACCUAUGAGGGGGGGAAAACUAUUGGAAACGAUAGCAAAUCCCGCAUAUGAGUAGAUGGGCCUUCGUCGUAUUAGCUAGUAGGUAGGGUAAUGGCCUACCUAGGCAACGCUACACAGCCGACCUGAAAGGGUGAACGGCCAACACGGGACUGAGGAACGGCCCCAACUCCCACGGGGGGCAGCAGUAGGGAAACUUCGGAAAGUGGGGGCACCCUGAACGCGCACCGGCGGGUGAGUGAAGAAGGUUUUCGGGUCGUAAAGCUCUGUUGUGAAGGGAGCGGUACUUACCCAGAAAGCGACGGCUAACUACGUGCCAGCAGCCGCGGUAAUAC